This 543-nucleotide ribosomal RNA is filed under the name uncultured Mycobacterium sp. RNAcentral's name for it is "bacterial SSU rRNA". It matches the Rfam family "Bacterial small subunit ribosomal RNA", at positions 54 to 606 of the family's 1533-position model. Lineage: Bacteria; Bacillati; Actinomycetota; Actinomycetes; Mycobacteriales; Mycobacteriaceae. The record is from RNAcentral.
CAUGCAAGUCGAACGGAAAGUGCUCAGCUUGCUGGGUGACUCGAGUGGCGAACGGGUGAGUAACACGUGGGUGAUCUGCCCUGCACUUUGGGAUAAGCCUGGGAAACUGGGUCUAAUACCGAAUACACCCUGCUGGUCGCAUGGCCUGGUGGGGGAAAGCUUUUGCGGUGUGGGAUGGGCCCGCGGCCUAUCAGCUUGUUGGUGGGGUGAUGGCCUACCAAGGCGACGACGGGUAGCCGGCCUGAGAGGGUGUCCGGCCACACUGGGACUGAGAUACGGCCCAGACUCCUACGGGAGGCAGCAGUGGGGAAUAUUGCACAAUGGGCGCAAGCCUGAUGCAGCGACGCCGCGUGAGGGAUGACGGCCUUCGGGUUGUAAACCUCUUUCAAUAGGGACGAAGCGUAAGUGACGGUACCUAUAGAAGAAGCACCGGCCAACUACGUGCCAGCAGCCGCGGUAAUACGUAGGGUGCGAGCGUUGUCCGGAAUUACUGGGCGUAAAGAGCUCGUAGGUGGUUUGUCGCGUUGUUCGUGAAAACUCACA